GUGGAGCUAAUUCACUGAGUUGUAGUAAAUCACAUAAACUUUCCACAGCAUCCAAAACAAUGGUGCUUUGGUCCAUGCCAUCAAGAAGUCUCAGAUCAAAAUGCCAUUGAACGUGGGCAUGAAUAGGGCCUGUGAUGGACCAGGGCUUUGUCAAAGCUGCCAGGUUAGGCUCUGACCUUGUGUGGCCCUGAUUUAGGUUUGGAGGUUGGAAACGUUUAUGUAGUGCUAGCGUACUUUGUCAGGUGUCUUUGGUAACUGCAAGAGGAGGUGAACCAGGGGAACACUAGAGGCUCAUCUGGCCACAGCUACAGGGGACAUUAAAUGAGCCACCAUAAUAAGCACCUUCUAAACCUACUGUGUCUUCCAAAUUCUAACCCACAUUGUUCAAUUCUGCAUGAAAAUACUGCAUAACAUCCCUUUAAGACAAACAUUGUUACAAAAUAUUAUAAAUUUGAAUCGAUAAUCACGUAACAGCCACUUGUCACAUUAGCAUAUUUGAAAACAGCUCCUCACACAGUGACAUUCGGCAUCAAUCUUUUAAUUUCAACAGCAUGGUAUCAAAAUAACACUCAUUGUGGUGUUUGCUUUACAGAAGGAUAACACAAAACAUCACAUUUUUCCUUUUUUGUUUUUUUUUGUU
Molecule: long non-coding RNA, 640 nt
Organism: Erpetoichthys calabaricus (reedfish)
Lineage: Eukaryota; Metazoa; Chordata; Cladistia; Polypteriformes; Polypteridae
Exons: 2
Source: RefSeq, a predicted model, not a curated record